RNAcentral lists this long non-coding RNA (728 nucleotides) under Scleropages formosus (Asian bonytongue). RNAcentral describes it as "lncRNA (ENSSFOG00015025903.1)". Lineage: Eukaryota; Metazoa; Chordata; Actinopteri; Osteoglossiformes; Osteoglossidae. The record is from RNAcentral.
ACUGACUCAGUCGUGAAAUGUAAAAUAAAAUAUUUCAUCGAUUGCAAUCAUUUGUUUUACUCUCUUCAUUUUCAAAGUAGGGAACCUAAAGGACUGCCCAUCGACACACCAGAGGACAAUGUGUCUGAUCCUAACAGUGGGAGCAAGAGUCUGGUUCUUCCUACAUCUGUGAUUAUACUUGUAGCUGUUGUUGCUGUUGUUGUUGUAAUUAUGAUGAUAGCAGUAGCAGUAGCAGUAGUAUACUUGAAACGAAAGAAGUCAUCCCGUUCAGAUGGUGACUUCAGGGACAAUCAGAAUCUAGAAAUGACAGGAUUUUUAAUCACAGCAGAUACAAGUAAGUAAUCAAAAUGUCAACCAUAACUGAUUUAAACUGUAUUUAUAACAGAAAACCAAAUUAAGUCAUUGAUGGAGGUGUCUUUUUUAUAAACUCAGCUACAAGUGCAAAUACCUAGAAGACUGAUUAAAUCUUUAAUGAAUAUAUUUGUCAUUAUGUUUUUCAGGGCAAACACAGGUACGUUCAUAUUUCCUGUUUCUUGUUGCCCGUUUCUUUACAUAACAUAGUGCAAUCUGUUGAUAAAUACUGACUUUGAUUCUUCUUUUAAUAGGCAUCACAAGCUGAAAAUGGAAACAUGCUUCCACAUAAAUCAGAUACAGGUAAGUAAUCAUAAAAUUAACAUAUAUAUAUAUAUAUAAUUGAGGGGGUGCAGUGGCGCAGUGGGUUGGACCAC